UCCGUUUCCUUGUUCCACCUGCAGCAAUAUUGACUAUUAUACAUAUAUGGUCUACAAACUUUUUGUUUUUAACCGACUUCCAAAAAAGGAGGAGGUUCUCAAUUCGACUGUAUUUUUUUUUUUAUGUAUGUUACAUCAGAACUUUUGACCGGGUGGACCGAUUUCGACAAAUUUUGUUUUAAUCAAAAGGUGGUGUGUGCCGAUUGGUCCCAUUUAAAUUUA
This 222-nucleotide unclassified non-coding RNA is filed under the name Melitaea cinxia (Glanville fritillary). Its description in RNAcentral is "misc RNA ENSMCXG00005008003.1". Lineage: Eukaryota; Metazoa; Arthropoda; Insecta; Lepidoptera; Nymphalidae. The record is from RNAcentral.